This 544-nucleotide ribosomal RNA is filed under the name Lasiodiplodia pseudotheobromae. RNAcentral describes it as "eukaryotic LSU rRNA". The stretch from base 170 to 323 matches the Rfam family "5.8S ribosomal RNA". The record is from RNAcentral. Lineage: Eukaryota; Fungi; Ascomycota; Dothideomycetes; Botryosphaeriales; Botryosphaeriaceae.
CUUCCGUAGGUGAACCUGCGGAAGGAUCAUUACCGAGUUUUCGGGCUUCGGCUCGACUCUCCCACCCUUUGUGAACGUACCUCUGUUGCUUUGGCGGCUCCGGCCGCCAAAGGACCUCCAAACUCCAGUCAGUAAACGCAGACGUCUGAUAAACAAGUUAAUAAACUAAAACUUUCAACAACGGAUCUCUUGGUUCUGGCAUCGAUGAAGAACGCAGCGAAAUGCGAUAAGUAAUGUGAAUUGCAGAAUUCAGUGAAUCAUCGAAUCUUUGAACGCACAUUGCGCCCCUUGGUAUUCCGGGGGGCAUGCCUGUUCGAGCGUCAUUACAACCCUCAAGCUCUGCUUGGAAUUGGGCACCGUCCUCACUGCGGACGCGCCUCAAAGACCUCGGCGGUGGCUGUUCAGCCCUCAAGCGUAGUAGAAUACACCUCGCUUUGGAGUGGUUGGCGUCGCCCGCCGGACGAACCUUCUGAACUUUUCUCAAGGUGACCUCGGAUCAGGUAGGGAUACCCGCUGAACUUAAGCAUAUCAAUAAGCGGAGGAA